CUUGGUUUCUACGGAGUUAAGGGUGAAAAGGGUGACGUAGGGCAGCCGGGACCCAACGGGAUUCCAUCAGACACCCUCCACCCCAUCAUCGCGCCCACAGGAGUCACCUUCCACCCAGAUCAGUACAAGGGUGAAAAAGGCAGUGAGGGGGAACCAGGAAUAAGAGGCAUUUCCUUGAAGGGAGAAGAAGGAAUCAUGGGCUUUCCUGGACUGAGGGGUUACCCUGGCUUGAGUGGUGAAAAAGGAUCACCAGGACAGAAGCCGAGGCCUGGAUGGCUAUCAAGGGCCUGAUGGACCCCGGGGACCCAAGGGAGAAGCCGGAGACCCAGGGCCCCCUGGACUACCUGCCUACUCCCCUCACCCUUCCCUAGCAAAAGGUGCCAGAGGUGACCCGGGAUUCCCAGGGGCCCAAGGGGAGCCAGGAAGCCAGGGUGAGCCAGGAGACCCGGGCCUCCCAGGUCCCCCUGGCCUCUCCAUCGGAGAUGGAGAUCAGAGGAGAGGCCUGCCGGGUGAGAUGGGACCCAAGGGCUUCAUCGGAGACCCCGGCAUCCCUGCGCUCUACGGGGGCCCACCUGGACCUGAUGGAAAGCGAGGGCCUCCAGGACCCCCCGGGCUCCCUGGACCACCUGGACCUGAUGGCUUCCUGUUUGGGCUGAAAGGAGCAAAAGGAAGAGCAGGCUUCCCUGGGCUUCCCGGCUCCCCUGGAGCCCGCGGACCAAAGGGGUGGAAAGGUGACGCUGGGGAAUGCAGAUGUACAGAAGGCGACGAAGCUAUCAAAGGUCUUCCGGGACUGCCAGGACCCAAGGGCUUCGCAGGCAUCAACGGGGAGCCGGGGAGGAAAGGGGACAGAGGAGACCCCGGCCAACACGGCCUCCCUGGGUUCCCAGGGCUCAAGGGAGUGCCUGGCAACAUUGGUGCUCCCGGACCCAAAGGAGC
This 936-nucleotide long non-coding RNA is filed under the name Homo sapiens (human). RNAcentral describes it as "long non-coding RNA NONHSAT166319.1". Lineage: Eukaryota; Metazoa; Chordata; Mammalia; Primates; Hominidae. The record is from RNAcentral.